UCUAUAUCUAUAUCUAUAUCUAUCUAUCUAUCUAUCUAUCUAUCAAAAUAAUUUUCCCUUCUGUAACUUCAGCCGCACUGGUGUAUGCUCAGCGGCAGGGUUAAAAAAGUUUAUUUCCUGACGUGUGUACAAUAUAUAUAGCUAGCUACAACCGUCCACGAAAAUAUAGCUCUCUAUUCCCCCUUAAUGUUAAGAACUGCUCAUUUGUGGCUAAGCAACGUAAACAAUUACACAUGACAUACCUGUAUAUAAACAUUUACUAUCUGCAAAAUACCUAGCUGGCUAUGUAUGGCCAUUUUGUGGACGAUUGUAGCUAGAACAAGCUGUAUGAUGGGACAUUCCUACAGAGUAGAAUUAUCUCACUCACUCUGUAGUAUAUAGCUAUGUAUAAUAGCUAGCUAGAUAGAGGAUAGGUAGAAAAUCAGUCUCAAACAAUUUUUCUAUGCUAGCUAUGUUGCUGAUUUUAUGCCAGCAAAAAUAGCAAUUUAUUGCUAGCUACAUGGGUAGUUCUAUCCCAGCUAAGUAGUUAAUUUUAUGCUAGCCUUGUAGCUAGUUUGAUGCUAGCUAUAUUGCAUUGUUUGUUUGUUUUUAUGCUAGCUAACUCUUACAGUAGCUAGGUAGCUAAAUGCUAUCUAAGUUCUAUUAUUAUUCUAAAUCUGCAGUUUUAAGCUAGCUAGCUUUAGGUGUGAGUGAGAAUAAGAAUGGGUUCAUUACAUGUAAAAAAUAGUGAUAUACAAGCGAGCUAAACAUACCCUUUCUUCAUUUUCUUGAACAAGCCCUUCCUCCUUCGGCUGCGAUAUAGCUAGCUUAGAUUAACGGAAGUUUGAGUUUGAGGCGCUAUGUUAUCCGAGAAAAAG
This is a long non-coding RNA of Hydractinia symbiolongicarpus, 857 nucleotides long. RefSeq lists it as uncharacterized. The transcript has 2 exons. NCBI's taxonomy places the organism in Eukaryota, Metazoa, Cnidaria, Hydrozoa, Anthoathecata, Hydractiniidae. The record is from RefSeq and is a predicted model, not a curated record.